This is an RNA transcript of Tetranychus urticae (two-spotted spider mite), 1667 nucleotides long. It is a transcript of the gene named acetyl-CoA acetyltransferase, mitochondrial pseudogene, with no coding region annotated. The record is from RefSeq and is a predicted model, not a curated record. Lineage: Eukaryota; Metazoa; Arthropoda; Arachnida; Trombidiformes; Tetranychidae.
UGCCCGCAGCUUUACUGGUUAUCAGUUGUUUCUACUUGAAAGCUGUUCAACAACUUCAAGUCACUGACUUUACCUAUUCCAUAAUAACUGUUUGAUUUUAAUUAUUUUGUGAAUCUACAGAUUUUUAAUAGUGAAAAUGAGGAUCUGUCAAUUCUUGACCAGUCGUUCAACAUUGUCAUCAAUUCGGCAGUUGAGUACCGGUAAUGCAAAAGGAUCAGAUGUUGUUAUUGUUUCUGCUUUACGGACUCCAAUCGGUUCAUUUAGAGGUUCAUUAUCGCAAUUGAGUGCUGCCCAAAUGGCAACUCAAGUUAUUAAAGCCCUAAUCAGCCAAUCAAAAAUCAAACCAGAUCAAAUUGAUGAAAUAAUUAUGGGUCACAUUUUAACACAUGGAGGAGGACAACAUCCUACUCGGCAAGCUGUAAUUAACUCAGGCCUUCCAUCAUCCACUGUUACAUCUACAGUUAACAAAUUAUGUGCCUCUGGAAUGAAGUCAAUUAUGCUUGCAUCUGGUUUAUUGUCUCUUAAACAGGCAAAUAUCAUGAUUGCUGGGGGCAUGGAGAGUAUGUCAAAUGUCCCUUUCAUAUUGAAAAGAGGUGAUGCCAAUUAUGGACACACUCAACUGUAUGAUGCUCUUUUAUCUGAUGGAUUAAUUGAUGCAUUCCAUCAAAUUCAUAUGGGUAAUUGUGGUGAAAAUACUGCCAAAAAGUAUGGUAUAACUCGAGAGGAUCAAGAUAAAUUUGCAAUUGGAAGUUAUGAGAAGAGUGCUGCUGCAGCUAAAGCUGGUUUAUUUGACAAAGAAAAGAUCUCUGUCACUGUUCCUGACAAAAAAGCCGGAACCAAAACAGUCAGUGAAGAUGAAGAAUAUCUUAAAGUAGAUUUCAGUAAAAUCAGUAGCUUGAGAAGUGUCUUCCAAAAAGACGGAACCAUUACAGCUGCUAAUGCCUCGAAAUUAAACGAUGGUGCGGCUGCUUGUAUCCUGAUGAGGGCUGAAACAGCUCAAGAACACGGUUUGAAUCCAUUAGUCAAAGUUGUUGACUACGCUGAUAAUGAGUUAGACCCAAUUGAUUUCCCUGAAGCUCCAGUUGGUGCCAUUAAGAAAUUGUUAGCUCGCAAUGGCAUCAAUAAAGACGACGUCAAAAUGUGGGAAAUUAACGAAGCAUUCAGUGUUGUUCCUCUGGUCCAUGUUAAACUGCUCGAUCUAGAUCCUAGUAAAGUUAAUAUACAUGGUGGUGCCGUAGCCUUAGGUCAUCCUGUUGCUGCUUCUGGAACCAGGAUUGUCGCUCAUUUAGCUCACACUUUGAAAUCCGGUGAAUAUGGUAUUGCUGCUAUCUGUAACGGAGGUGGUGGAUCUUCAGCUAUGCUUGUUCAAGCUCUUUAAAUGAGUCUUCCUAUUCCAAAUUACUAGUUUAUUGACUAUUUAAUUGUGAAUUCAUUCAUUUCCACAGAGAACACAUUCAAUCUAUUUUACACUACUAUUACUCGAAGGUUUCUUAACUUUAAAAAGUGUAUAAAUUUGACUUUUAGUCUAUUACUAAUUUUCUAUUAUAAACCAUGAAAAUUAUUUGCCAAACUAUUGAUUUGUUAACAAUAAAACUAUUAUAUUGAUAGAAUUCAUUGAUGUUUUUUUUGUAAAAUUACUACGAGUGAACAUUAAUAAAGCAUUCAAU